Long non-coding RNA from Pygocentrus nattereri (red-bellied piranha), 787 nucleotides. RefSeq lists it as uncharacterized. The transcript has 3 exons. The record is from RefSeq and is a predicted model, not a curated record. Lineage: Eukaryota; Metazoa; Chordata; Actinopteri; Characiformes; Serrasalmidae.
CCAAAGAUGGAAGCCACUGGCUUAAGGCCAUUGCCCACCUGAUACAGUGCGUAACACAAAGCACUGCUACAGCAGGGAUUGCAGGUUUCCAGCUGGAGAGCAGAUGACGAGAGUGGAUUUUAUUUCUGGGCAGAUGUCUGCUGAUGAUACUCCACUUUAAUAACGUGUCUGAAAUUUGGUUUGAAGCCGCAUGUGUCAUUGAACUGUUGAUAACAUAAGCAAGCAAGGACUGUACACAGGAGGGCAAAAGCUACAAUUAAUCAGGAAAUUAAGGAGAUUUGUCCUUCAGCAUACUGUGGGGCAGACACACCUCUAUAAGCCAGUGUUCAUGAAGAUCCAAACGACAUGCUCGCAGAUGUGGCUGUAGCUCCUAAUGACCACCAGAGGAUGCUAAAAGGAAAAUCAUAACAUGAGGAACAAAAGAACAAAUGAGAGCAGGUGCUGCAAAUGUGUGUGAAACUCCAUUUUUUAAUAUUGUCAUCGUAACUCAAUUUAUUAAUAUUGUUCUCCAUAUUACAAGCCUGAUUUCAUCCACUGGAAGUGAAUUCUGUGCUACAAGGCAAUUCUGCACCUUCCCCAUUAAUAGAUGUCUCAACAGCUUUUACACAGCCAGUUUUGGCCCCUGGUAAUAUUAAACCCAACGAGAAUAACAGAAAUGUAUGAAUUAUAGUUUUAAAAAAAGCUUUGUUUGUCUUAAUUGGCCACUGUUUAAAAACUUUCACCGGGGUGGGACCGCUCAGGUCACUGGGGUAGUACUCUCAAGGGUAUUCAGUAUUUUUAGCUUAAU